This is a long non-coding RNA of Cercocebus atys (sooty mangabey), 1029 nucleotides long. RefSeq lists it as uncharacterized. The transcript is spliced from 4 exons. Lineage: Eukaryota; Metazoa; Chordata; Mammalia; Primates; Cercopithecidae. The record is from RefSeq and is a predicted model, not a curated record.
UCCCCCUCCUUGGCCAGGCAUCAAAGCUAUGUGUUGUUCGUUUAAAACAUGAACAUCCUGAUCCCAGGACUUUGAAGAUAGGAAUCACCCAUCCCAAACCAGACACACUGCCCACAGUAGCUGAGAAAGAAGCCAAAGGUGGUGAAUGAUUAGCAGAACUGCCAGACAGCUCCAGAGUCUGGACACAGAGUACCAGGAAAGCUGUUUCGUGGGGGAAACUCAGACUGAUCAAAAGAGCCGAGGAAGUCCUUUGUGGCCUGUCUACUUCGUGGAAAUAGCUCUAGGAGAGGGAAGACCAGCUGCCUUCAUCAGGAAUUCACAGGUGGCAUUUCUAUGGGGAAUCAGCACAAGGGAAAAGGAGACAUUUCCUUUCUAAGUUAUGGUGGCAUCACAAUCACACCAUUAUUGCAUGGACUGAAGUGCAAGUGGAGGACAAGGGGUUGGGAGAGGAAGUGACUUUGGCAAAUUGUCCUCAAGCUGGUAAGAAGCAGAUCUCUGAGACUUUCUACUGGGAUAUGGAGUUUUGGGGCAAAAAGGAGAAUGGAGAUCAACACUGAUAUUUAUUUAUUCAUUUUUAAAUAUACACUUUCAGGUAGAAGUUGAGAAGUAUUGAUCUUUAACUAAGGAGGGUUGGGAUUGCCAAAGGCAGCCCCCAGCAGGGGCAGUUCCCUUCUGUCAUAAAAGACCUUAGCGUCCUGGGGAGAAUGAGUUCCGGACUGGAACCUCCAGGCUGAAUGCCCCCACUGUUCCCCUCCUUGUUAUAACCUCCUGGGUGGUGUGAUCUUUUUUUCCCAGUGUCCUGCCACAUCCACAUCCCCAAAGAACUCUUUUUUCAAAAACAUUUCUUUCCCUGCCUCCCCAGUCUGAAGAUAUUCCCAGCAAGUUUAAGAAUUCAUCAGAUGCUCUGUUCUUGGCAGCACUGGUCUUCUGGGCAUGGCUCGGGAGCAGCAGACCUCCUUUGGAGCUGUACCUUGUCAUUUUCCAUUUUUGGAAUUCAUUUCAACAAACAUUUGGAACAAGAUCUUCACA